Non-coding RNA from Misgurnus anguillicaudatus (oriental weatherfish), 1639 nucleotides. The record is from RefSeq and is a predicted model, not a curated record. Lineage: Eukaryota; Metazoa; Chordata; Actinopteri; Cypriniformes; Cobitidae.
GAGAAAUGUUUUUGCAUGCUGCUUUUAAAUAUAUCAGUGGCGAUAUCUCAUAACAUGUUUUAAUAGUCACGUCACGAUAAAGUAAAUGAUCAAUGUCCACAUUUAAAAGCUGCGGUGCUUACCUGCAGUUCCACUGUGUUUUCGCGUUCUGAUAAGAAAUAUAGCUCCAGUAAAAAACGAGUGUUUAUAUUCCUCUUUCCAAGUGUUAAUCGUCCACACGAUGUGACAAGAGAUUUCUCCCAUUAACUUUAACGUAACAUCCAAGAGCGCUGAUCUUUGACCGAAUAAUAACUUCCGAUUGGGGAUUCACAGACUGAUUUAAGAGCUAGUAAACUAAUGAGACACACGGAGAGUGAUUCAAAACAGCGCGUCUGUGUUUUUCCAUUCAGAGAUGAGCCUGCUUAGGACCUCCAUUCACUAGGUGGCGGAAUGAUACGAAAGGUGAAGCGGUUACAGUGCCGUAAUCAGUACAAUAUCGCAUAGCUCUUAGCCAAUCAGAUUCGAGAACCAGAAAGAACUGUUGUAUAAAUAUAUAUAUACACUCUAAAAAUGGCUGGGUUAUUUUUUAACCCAAAAUGCUGGGUUGAGUCUGUUGGGUUGUUUUGCUGGGUUAUUUUUUUUACAUUUUAAACACUUUUUGGGUAGUUUCAGUUUUCUAGGUGUUGGGUUAAAACUGCUGGGUUAUUAUGUUGGGUUGUUUGAAGAGGCUCACGUGCUUUGCGCCCUUGAUGUUUGAAUGUGCUCAGCAAUGGUCGUCGUGAAAGGACAGAGUCACUGAAGCAGUUGUUUCAAGAGUGUGCAGAGUUUAAACGUCCAUCCAUUGAUGAGGCUAGCAAGACCUUCAAACAACUUCAGCCAAUUGCAACAAAUGUGGUGGAAUUUCUUCUCUGGACAGAAUCCUCGAAACCCUUUCCUUUCGUCCUGGCCAUGGGAAACAUGCAGCAGAUCUCUCAAUCUUUUUUCUCAAUCAGUCUCUCUGAAUACGGAAGUGACUUAAACUGCAAUUCGGCCAAGAUGGCGAUGGCACGCACCACCUACUUUAAGCUUCAAAAAUGCUCUUCACAAACCAAUGGGUGACGUCACAGACACUACUUGCAUAUUUUUUACAUUCUCUGGUUUAAAGGCAUUUUAAGUGCUUAAAAAAAUAAAUACCCCAGGCAAUGUGAUUCUAUGGGAAUUCCUGUAGUCUGUCAUUUUUCAAAUGGAUGAAUCCCCUGCUGUUCGAUUCCUUUGUACAUCUUUGUUCGCGACGAGUAACUUUAAUAAAUGAAGUAUUUUUAGUCAAAUACAUUCCAUUCUGUGAAACUUAAAACAUUUGUUCUUUAAAAAAACUUUACACAUCUAUGAAUGAUUUUACUUUUAAUUUAACAAUUACAUUGUUUCUUUUUUACACUGCUGUAGUUUUGUUUAUGUACAUUUCAGUAUUUCAUAUAUAUACUGUAAAAUUACAAAUUCUGUCUUAAAUUCAAACGAAUUGAUUCAACCUGUUACAUUGUUACUUCAAUGUGCAUAAUUUAUGAUAUUUUAUAAAUAUAUUUAUACUUGGGUCAGUAAGCAGUCCUUUAAAUGAUUUUGCAACUUACAACUGUAAAAAUGUAAGAGUUUGUAGUUAUUUUGCAAUCAAAUAAACAUUUAUUUG